This 240-nucleotide ribosomal RNA is filed under the name uncultured Lactobacillus sp. RNAcentral's name for it is "partial 16S ribosomal RNA". It matches the Rfam family "Bacterial small subunit ribosomal RNA", at positions 122 to 356 of the family's 1533-position model. Lineage: Bacteria; Bacillati; Bacillota; Bacilli; Lactobacillales; Lactobacillaceae. The record is from RNAcentral.
UAACCUGCCCAAGAGAUCGGGAUAACACCUGGAAACAGAUGCUAAUACCGGAUAACAACAGAUGAUGCCUAUCAACUGUUUAAAAGAUGGUUCUGCUAUCACUCUUGGAUGGACCUGCGGUGCAUUAGCUAGUUGGUAGGGUAACGGCCUACCAAGGCGAUGAUGCAUAGCCGAGUUGAGAGACUUAUCGGCCACAUUGGGACUGAGACACGGCCCAAACUCCUACGGGAGGCAGCAGCG